Molecule: long non-coding RNA, 292 nt
Filed under: Gossypium barbadense (sea-island cotton)
Lineage: Eukaryota; Viridiplantae; Streptophyta; Magnoliopsida; Malvales; Malvaceae
Description: long non-coding RNA (GBAR_LNC001757)
Source: RNAcentral
UUGCAGAUCAACAAAUUUCAUCACCACCACAAUCUACAUAAGUUUGGAUUUUAUCACUCAUUGUGAGUGGGUUUGAUACCAAAUUGUUGAAAACACAAGAACAUGAUAGAGUUAUUGGGCAAUUAACGAGAAUGUUAGAAGUGAUUAUCUUCCCUUCAUAACUAUUCCUAGAACAACCUAUGGUAACUGAUAAUCAAGGGAGAUUAAAACCUUUAAGACUUGUUUAGAGAGAGCUCUAGAUCUCUUAAAAAGUAGAUGGUAAUUCUACUUAUGUUUUUACUCUCCAAUAGGU